This 495-nucleotide ribosomal RNA is filed under the name uncultured bacterium. Its description in RNAcentral is "partial 16S ribosomal RNA". It matches the Rfam family "Bacterial small subunit ribosomal RNA", at positions 28 to 507 of the family's 1533-position model. The record is from RNAcentral.
GACGAACGCUGGCGGCGUGCCUAAUACAUGCAAGUAGAACGCUGAAGGCGGAGCUUGCUCUUCUGGAUGAGUUGCGAACGGGUGAGUAACGCGUAGGUAACCUGCCUGGUAGCGGGGGAUAACUAUUGGAAACGAUAGCUAAUACCGCAUAACAGCAGAUGUUGCAUGACAUUUGCUUAAAAGGUGCAGUUGCACCACUACCAGCUGGACCUGCGUUGUAUUAGCUAGUGGGUGGGGUAACGCCUCACCAAGGCGACGAUACAGAGCCGACCGGAGAGGGGGAGCGGCCACCCUGGGACGGAGACACGGCCCAGAGGCCUACGGGAGGCAGCAGUAGGGAAACUUCGGCAAUGGACGGAAGUCUGACCGAGCAAGGCCGCGUGAGGGAAGAAGGUUUUCGGAUCGUAAAGCUCUGUUGUAAGAGAAGAACGAGUGUGAGAGUGGAAAGUUCACACUGUGACGGUAUCUGACCAGAAAGGGACGGCUAACUACGUG